UACCAGCUCUUCGAGUGGUGUGGAUGUUUAUUGGGCCUAAAGCAUCCGUAGCUAGCUGGGCAAGUCCCCUGUUAAAUCCACCGAUUUAAUCGUUGGAGUGCGGGGGAUACUGUUCGGCUAGGGGACGGGAGAGGCAGACGGUAUUUUCGGGGUAGGGGUGAAAUCCUAUAAUCCCGGGAAGACCACCAGUGGCGAAGGCUGUCUGCUAGAACGCGCCCGACGGUGAGGGAUGAAAGCUGGGGGAGCGAACCGGAUUAGAUACCCGGGUAGUCCCAGCUGUAAACGAUGCAGGCUAGGUGUUUGGGCGGCCACGUGCCACUCUAGUGCCGCAGGGAAGCCGUUAAGCCUGCCGCCUGGGGAGUACGGCCGCAAGGCUGAAACUUAAAGGAAUUGGCGGGGGAGCACCACAAGGGGUGAAGCUUGCGGUUU
Molecule: ribosomal RNA, 429 nt
Filed under: uncultured archaeon
Lineage: Archaea
Description: bacterial SSU rRNA
Rfam family: Archaeal small subunit ribosomal RNA
Source: RNAcentral